GGGGAAUAUUGGACAAUGGGGGAAACCCUGAUCCAGCGACGCCGCGUGAGUGAAGAAGUAUUUCGGUAUGUAAAGCUCUAUCAGCAGGGAAGAAAAUGACGGUACCUGACUAAGAAGCCCCGGCUAACUACGUGCCAGCAGCCGCGGUAAUACGUAGGGGGCAAGCGUUAUCCGGAUUUACUGGGUGUAAAGGGAGCGUAGACGGCACUGCAAGUCUGGAGUGAAAGCCCGGGGCUCAACCCCGGGACUGCUUUGGAAACUGUGGUGCUAGAGUAUCGGAGAGGAAAGCGGAAUUCCUAGUGUAGCGGUGAAAUGCGUAGAUAUUAGGAGGAACACCAGUGGCGAAAGCGGCUUUCUGGACGACAACUGACGCUGAGGCGCGAAAGCCAGGGGAGCAAACG
RNAcentral lists this ribosomal RNA (401 nucleotides) under uncultured Lachnospiraceae bacterium. RNAcentral's name for it is "bacterial SSU rRNA". It matches the Rfam family "Bacterial small subunit ribosomal RNA", at positions 356 to 774 of the family's 1533-position model. Lineage: Bacteria; Bacillati; Bacillota; Clostridia; Lachnospirales; Lachnospiraceae. The record is from RNAcentral.